UCCAACUUUAUUGACCGGAAGUGGCAUCGGCCACGCAGAGAGACUUCCGGUGCCGGCACGUACUUCACGGCGGUUCUUUUUGGAAAAAAAAUACUGCAUAUAUCUUCUUGUUUAAGGUUGCUUUGCCGUGUCACCAAAGUCAUCAAACCUGCGGACAAAGCUCAUCGGUCUCCAGAAUGGUGACGUUCCUCUGGGCGUCGACUUGUACCUCAAUGAUGGCGUCUGUGAGGGGGUCCGUGAUGACGUUCAACAGCUCGGGGGGCUCGCCGCUCUGGAUUUGGAAGGAGUCGAUGAUGAUCUUGGUGACCUCGUACAAGUACCCGGUGGCCACCUCCAGGGGCAGCAGCACCAGCACCGACAGCCAGUUGAAGAAGUCGUGCACCGUGGCGCCCGCGAAGGCCCUGUCACAGAUAACAGCUGAACUUUGACCUCUCUGUUGGUAGCCACAGUACACAGUACAUUGCCAGCAAGAUAGGAACGACCGUGUCUGCUUGCCGCCGCAAUAAACAGUGGCCUCGCGCUUACCUGCGGAAGACGCUGCGGUCCCCGGCCUGCGUCAUGGCAACCAGCGUGUUGGUGACCGAGGUGCCGAUGUUGGUGCCCAUGAUGAUGGGCACUGCCAGCUGCACCGUCAGCACUGCACACAUGCGCCCUGGCUGGGACUGACGUGCGGUCUUGGUACUCACGCCCGGAGGAGACCAUGCUGACCACGAUGGAGGACGAGGUGGACGAGCUCUGGACCAGCAGAGUCACCAGGACGCCGAUGACCAGACCAGCCAGAGGGUUGGACAAGACCGCGUUGUCCUGGAAAAUGUCCCCCGCCGCUUUGCCUGCGGGGGACACAGUGGAGGCACAUAUCUCAGCUUCUAUUUGUAUAUGAUGGUUGUUGUUUUUAUUUAUUUGUGUUUUGUUCCUUGCCUCCCACAAGCUGGAAGGCGGAGCUGAGGAUGUCCAGAGAGCAGAUGAACAUGUAGAGCAGGCCCAGCAGCACCAGCAGCUUCACCAGGGACACCAGCACCCUCAGCACCUUCCCCUUGCAGUCCAGCGCUGACACGGUCAAACACAUUAUUUGUACAUUCAAGAUAAUUAGUACUUUAUUUUAUAUUUUAACAAUCAGGACAAUUUUUUAAAACGUCUCUUCACUUCAAUAAUGUGCUCAAAUAAUCCCACUUUGUUUUUCCAUUUUUGGCUAUAAGUCUAUUUAAUAAAUCCUAAAUAAUGAUGAAAUAAAAUAAGGUAAUUAUAUUUCAUCAAAAUAAUAAGUCUAGAUAUAAGCGUCAAAGUUGGCGACACCGACCCCUCCUGCUGAGUCUUCUUACGCUCUGGCAGACCAGAUAGCACCAGACAUAUUUGUCUGGAUGUGUCUGUGGUGGGACUUGACAAAUAAAUGCAUGGUGCGACUAUUUAUACUAAUAUUAACACUAAUAAUUAGAGAUGUCCGAUAAUAUCGGUCUGCCGAUAUUAUCGGCCGAUAAAUGCGUUAAAAUGUAAUAUCGGAAAUUAUCGGUAUCGGUUUUUUUAUUAUCAGUAUCUUUUUUUUUUUUUUUUUUUUUUUUUUUUAAUUAAAUCCACAUAAAAAACACAAGAUACACUUACAAUUAGUGCACCAACCCAAAAAACCUCCCUCCCACCAUUUACACUCAUUCACACAAAAGGGUUGUUUCUUUCUGUUAUUAAUAUUCUGCUUCCUACAUUAUAUAUCAAUAUAUAUCAAUACAGUCUGCAAGGGAUACAGUCCGUAAGCACACUUGAUUGUGCGUGCUGCUGCUCCACUAAUAAUACUAACCUUUAACAGUUAAUUUUACAAAUUUUCAUUAAUUACUAGUUUCUAUGUAACUGUUUUUAUAUUGUUUUACUUUCUUUUUUAUUCAAGAAAAUGUUUUUAAUUUAUUUAGCUUAUUUUAUUUGAUUCGUUUUUUUAAAAAGUACCUUAUCUUCACCAUACCUGGUUGUCCAAAUUAGGCAUAAUAAUGUGUUAAUUCCACGACUGUAUAUAUCGGUUGAUAUCGGUAUCGGUUGAUAUCGGUAUCGGUAAUUAAAGAGUUGGACAAUAUCGGCAUAUCGGCAAAAAGCCAUUAUCGGACAUCCCUACUAAUAAUAGUAAUAGUGUUGUUUUGUACUUAAAUUCUAGCUGGCGCUUUAUAAGACACUUAAAAUUAGAAUUUAAUUCAGCAUAAUAAUCAAAGAUAGUGUAAAAAAUAAUACAAAUUUAUUACAAAACCCAAAACCAGCAAAGUUGUCACGUUGUGU
Molecule: long non-coding RNA, 2250 nt
Organism: Entelurus aequoreus (snake pipefish)
Lineage: Eukaryota; Metazoa; Chordata; Actinopteri; Syngnathiformes; Syngnathidae
Exons: 4
Source: RefSeq, a predicted model, not a curated record